This 399-nucleotide unclassified non-coding RNA is filed under the name soil metagenome. RNAcentral describes it as "partial contains 5.8S ribosomal RNA, internal transcribed spacer 2, and large subunit ribosomal RNA". The stretch from base 1 to 121 matches the Rfam family "5.8S ribosomal RNA", at positions 35 to 154 of the family's 154-position model. The record is from RNAcentral.
GAUGAAGAACGCAGCGAAAUGCGAUACUUGGUGUGAAUUGCAGAAUCCCGUGAACCAUCGAGUCUUUGAACGCAAGUUGCGCUCAAGCCAUUAGGUUGAGGGCACGUCUGCCUGGGCGUCACAUAUCGUUGCCUGAUGCCAGUUUCCUCGUGAUGGGUGACUGUGCAGGGCGAAUGAUGGCUUCCCGUGAGCAUUGUUGCCUCAUGGUUGGUUGAAAAUUGAGUCCUUGGUAGGGAGCGCCGUGAUAGAUGGUGGUUGAGUGACGAACGAGACCCAAUCAUGUGAGACCCCUACCGAAUUUGGCCUUCAUGACCCACAUGCGUCUUUGGAACGCUCAUGACGAGACCUCAGGUCAGGCGGGGCUACCCGCUGAGUUUAAGCAUAUCAAUAAGCGGAGGA